GCGGGCGUCGUUCAAUGGUAGGACCUGAGCUUCCCAAGCUCAUGACGUGGGUUCGAUCCCCAUCGCCCGCUCCA
This 74-nucleotide transfer RNA is filed under the name Roseateles saccharophilus. RNAcentral's name for it is "tRNA-Gly". It matches the Rfam family "tRNA". Rfam says of the family: Transfer RNA (tRNA) molecules are approximately 80 nucleotides in length. Their secondary structure includes four short double-helical elements and three loops (D, anti-codon, and T loops). Lineage: Bacteria; Pseudomonadati; Pseudomonadota; Betaproteobacteria; Burkholderiales; Sphaerotilaceae. The record is from RNAcentral. RNAcentral also lists the same sequence under 2 other names.